ACCGGAAAGGAGAUUUUGCCCGUUUUCUAUGAUGUGGAGGCGACAGAUGUUAAGCUCCGGACGGAGGUGUAUGAAAGUUCCAUGCAAAGGCACGAGAAGAAGUUUGGCUCCGAGAAGGUGAAGCAGUGGAGGGAGGCUCUGAGAGAGGUUGCUAAGAUCAGAGGAUGGGACAGAAAUGAUGCAGCGUAAGGAUUUGAAGUUCUAAACUUUCAUAGAGCCCAAGGUAAGCUUAUCAAAGUGAUUGUUCAAGAGGUACUCAGUAAGCUGAAAACAAGGCAGAGGAGUUUGCCUGAUAAUUUCCUCGGAAUGGACCAUUAACUGGAAGCUGUGAUGGACUUGUUAGACACCUACUCUAUGGAUGUACGGUCAGUUGUAAUCCACGGUAUGGAUGGGAUCGGCAAAACAACUCUUGCCAAGGCCAUAUUCAACAAAAUCUAUUCUCAGUUCCAAAGCUGUAGUUUUCUCUCAAACAUGUGAGAAUCAUUGCAACAGGGCGACAUUGUGAAAUUGCAGAAACAACUGCUGUCUGACCUUCUGCAGUCAGGAUCCAUAGAAAUCAGUGACAUUGGCGAUGGGAUAAAUAUGCUCAAAGAAAGAUGUCUUAGCAAGAAAGUUCUCAUCGUUAUUGAUGACAUUGAUAAUGAGGACCAACUCACAAACCUGGGAGGAAAGCCUGAUUGGUUUGAUUCUGGAAGUAGGAUCAUCAUUACAACU
Molecule: long non-coding RNA, 714 nt
Organism: Rhodamnia argentea
Lineage: Eukaryota; Viridiplantae; Streptophyta; Magnoliopsida; Myrtales; Myrtaceae
Exons: 2
Source: RefSeq, a predicted model, not a curated record